Erigeron canadensis is the source of this 111-nucleotide small nucleolar RNA. RefSeq annotates it as small nucleolar RNA Z161/Z228. Lineage: Eukaryota; Viridiplantae; Streptophyta; Magnoliopsida; Asterales; Asteraceae. The transcript has a single exon. The record is from RefSeq and is a predicted model, not a curated record.
AAGCCAAAUGAAGAUUAAGGAUUAAAAUCUCACGACGGUCGUCUGAAAACCACACCUUUUCGUAGGGUGUGUUAUACCUGAUGCAUUUAUAUCCUAUUUUUUCUGAUGGUU